UACAACUUUCAGCAACGGAUCUCUUGGCUCUCGCAUCGAUGAAGAACGCAGCGAAAUGCGAUAAGUAAUGUGAAUUGCGGAAUUCAGUGAAUCAUCGAAUCUUUGAACGCACCUUGCGCUCCUUGGUAUUCCGAGGAGCAUGCCUGUUUGAGUGUCAUG
RNAcentral lists this ribosomal RNA (159 nucleotides) under uncultured Scopuloides. Its description in RNAcentral is "5.8S ribosomal RNA". It matches the Rfam family "5.8S ribosomal RNA". From Rfam's summary of the family: 5.8S ribosomal RNA (5.8S rRNA) is a component of the large subunit of the eukaryotic ribosome. It is transcribed by RNA polymerase I as part of the 45S precursor that also contains 18S and 28S rRNA. Lineage: Eukaryota; Fungi; Basidiomycota; Agaricomycetes; Polyporales; Meruliaceae. The record is from RNAcentral.